Molecule: long non-coding RNA, 4333 nt
Filed under: Octopus vulgaris (common octopus)
Lineage: Eukaryota; Metazoa; Mollusca; Cephalopoda; Octopoda; Octopodidae
Source: RNAcentral
AUCGAAUUAAAUAUAAAUAGUUGAUAAUUGUGCAAUUACUAUAGCAUUCUUUACUAUGUUAACCUGUAAGAUCUUGACGUUUUCAUGAAGCUGUUAUCCAAUCUGUUGUCGAACGUGUAUUGUGAGAGCUUCCUUAAAGGGUCUAUAUUAAUGUGUAAGUAUCAUUUAUAUGUAAACAUUGUUGUAUACGUAUCCUUGUCUGUAUAUCUAUUUUUGUUCAGCAAAUGAAAGAAAGUGAAAAAAAAAAGUUUUACGAAAGUAAGAAUAUUGCCUUAUUUCAUCGUUUCGUUUUCCAUUCGACACUCCAUUCCUAUUUUCCCUAUUCCGUACAUUUUUAUAUCAACAGAAAAAGAAAGAUGUGGUGUAACUCGCAUUGCGUAAUCUCGUAUUUACAGUUGUACAGUAUUCUGUAUGGGAUCUAUUAUUCUGUUCUUACAGAAACUCUGAACAAUUUUAAUAAUUUUAAAACUAAAAUUAUGAUAUUUAUUGAGAUAAAGUGUGGUUAAGUUGAUGGGUAGGUGAAGCAACUGUUGUGCAGUAGAAACAAAGAAUCUGGUGAGGAUAAGGCUGGUAGCUUGUGAUAGCCUCAUAUAUGAACGUGAGGACAUCGCAUUUGUUGUCUGCUCCAUACAACUGUAGGGGAAUAAUACAUUGUCAGCAGAAACCUGUUUCUUGUUGAUCUAGGGUAUAUACAAGAACAUGACCAAUAAACCUUAUUUAUAGGCAAUAAACCAAAAUGACAGUUAUACGGAAGUUACUGAUAAAAUACAUCAUUGGAACUGAAAACUGAAAUAAUGCUAGUAUAAUUCUUAAAUUGUUCUAUAAAUACUGGUGUGUUCAACAUGUUCCAACUUACCUCCUUGUGAGAUAACUUGGAAAGUUUAAACUUAGGUCACAAAAUUUACUUUUUCUCGGGAAUUUCUCUUAACCUCUGCAUGUUUACUGAGUUCCUUGUACACGUUGCAUAUCUAUAAAAUGUUUCAGUCAUUUGACUGUGGCUAUGCUAGGGCACCGCUUUGACAAGUUUUAGUCGAACAAAUUAACCCUAGGACAUUUUUGAAGCCUAGUACUUAUUCUAUCGGUCGUUUUGCUGAACUGCUAAGUUACAGGGAUGUAAAUACAUCACCACCAGUUGUCAAAUGAUAGUGGGGGACAAACACAGACCCCCACUUCCAUAGAUAGAUAUAUGUCUACAAAAUCCUCUCACAAGACUUCAGUUGACUUGAAGCUAGAGUACAAAACAUUUGCCAAAGGUGCCAUGCAGUAAAACUGAACCCGGAACCAUGUGGUUGAGAAGCAAGAUUCUUGAUUUUUGGGAAAUUGGCCAUAAAGGCCUUACAUAGAGGGGACAAAAAAACAAAACGAAUGAAAAGAUGGAAUGAAGCCACUCAGCUCCACCUCUGAGCAACUUCAUUGAACCUGUUAAUACAUUUUUUAAAAACUUUUUUUGAAAACAAUUUAAUCACCUUUUUUUCAAAAUGUCUAUAUUGUGCUUUUUUAGAAUAUCCACAUACCCUAUGUGCUCUGGCAUUGUGCUGGUGUCUAUAUUCUUUACCCACCACUUGCAGUCCAGAUUUUCCACAUACUCCUGUAAUCUCCACACGUACUCCGUGUCUGUGAAGAAGUAGAGAAAGUUCUUGGGCAGACUCUUUACUUCCAUAUCUACCUUUACUGCUCCAUCCCACAAGUCCACCUCAUCAAACAUUUCUUCAUUAUGCCCAUUAUUACAUUUUUCUUCACAGGGCGGGGGUGGAUAAGUUUGUGGAUCCUGUGUGUUUGUACUUGUUUUUAUGUCAGACAGGGCAUGGGGAGGGUUGGUGUAUGUAGGGAGUGGUUGGGGCAGAGAGGGUGUGGAUAGGAAGCUUAGAUGGGUUGGGGGUCAUCCUUUACCACAUGCAUCUUCCUCCUUUUUCUUCUCUUCUUCCUUGCUAUUUCACAGUUGGUAUUUGUCUUCUCUUCUUCGAUGCUGGUACUCUGUAGUGCUAUAUCUAUUUCCUUUUCAUCCAUACUAACCCUGGAAGCACUCUUCCUAUGGUAAAUGGGCAGAAGAACUACCUCAUUCGUUUUCAGCGAUGUUGCUGAGUGCAGCCUGGCAGUAGCUGCAUCCCGAAACAGCACCUCUACCGUUCCAAAUUUUCUACCUCUGUCGAGGUGGGUAAUUCCCUGCCAGAUUGGUUCGAGCGCCUUUUCCAUUUGAGCUCUUGACAUAACUUCUAUUUUCCCGGCCGCUAUCGAGUGUGUUCUAUAAAUUAUAGUUCUCUCAUUCUUCUCCUCUAACACCUCCUUGGGGGAAAAAAAUUCUCACGCUGUUCCCUUCCUUUUUAAGCAUAUAAUAGAACCUGCUCAAAUCUUCCAGGUUUACUUCUAAUUCUUUAAAAUUCCCCUCUGAUUCACUAUUCAUCUCGUUGAAGUACUCCACCAAUCCCUCCUCAGAUGAAUCACAUUCUGGGGAAGAACACCUCAAAUUCUCCCAACUUCUCGUUCAACGUCCCUCCAUCACAAGAAGAAAAACGUCGCACAGCCAAACAACACGUCUACCUCGUACGAAAUCAACAAACCUAAUGGAUCCUGGGUAAUCAGAAGCAAGCUUUUUACCUCACAGCCACACUUGCAAACAUGAAAAUAAAUAUUUCUACCAAAAUAAAUAAUUUUUAAAAAAAAUAAUAUACUUUGGUGUUACACCUUAAUACACGCAACUGUUUCUCUUAUUUUUCUUUGUACAUUUUUGUUGUUUACUAUCUAUUAAUUCAACUAUUUAAAUUUACUGUUGUGUCUGAGGAGAAUCAUUUUCUUUUUGUGCCUUAUAAUUUAACACACUCACCGGUAAAAUUUCUACUUAUAUCCUUCUUUAUUUUUCUAAAAUUUCCGUUGCGUCUUGCAACCUAUUCACACUGCGUUCCUUUUUGUUUGUGCGCAUGGUGUGUGUAUGCAUGUAUUUAUGUAUGUAUGUGUGUACAUUUGUAUGUAUGUAUUUUGCAUAUUCAUGUGUUUGUGUGUGUGUACCUCUAUCUCCUUGUGUAUGCAUAUCUGAGUGUGUUUUGCAACUAUGUGCCGUGUUUGUAUGUAUGAAUGUGUAUCUCCAUAUGUGUGGACGUGAGCCUCCAUAUGUGUCCUUGUGUGAAGUACAGUGUGUGUAUAUAUGGUCAUUUAAAUUUAUUUUCUCUCCUAAAGUAUCAGUUAAUAUCCAAGAUUAAUUUCUUUCUCUCCAUCAGCUAUGCUAUUAGAAGAGGCAUGGAUGGGGCACACACAGCAUCCCUUUCUCAAGAAAUGGAGAGUGUUGAGUGAACAAGGAUAACAACCACUUUUCAUAGAAGAGCUGGUAUCAUACUGGAACAAUCCAAGGACAGGCAGAUGUACAGUUUGGCUCCAAACAUAUACCAUAAAUCCUUGAGUAUAGUCUGUCCUUGAGUAUAAAACGUGGGGGAUUUUUAAUGGGCUGUACUUCCGAAAAACCUAAACCUUAUGUAUAAUACACACCUCUUCUCUAACUUGAGUCGUGUGUAAUUAAGCCAGCAACACCUAAUCGAACAAACACUUCUGCGCAUGUGUAAUACAAAAAUGGUGAUGUUCUUAACUGUUAUAUGGGAAUGUAAAUAUGUUUGCAAAUUGUUUUUGUUACAUGUUAUUCUGUGUUCUGAAUACUUUUAUUUUAAUAAAUGUUGCUUACUGCAAGUUAUGGAUGAUUCUUUUAUGACUUCAUUGCUUUCAGGCUUAGCUUAAGGUAUUUUCGCACCUGACAUCACAAAAUGCGUCUGAAUAAAUGUUGCCAGACAGCAAAUAGAGACUCGGACAUUGCUUAGAAACUAUUUUUUCAUUUUUAACCUCGUAUAUAGUAUGCACUAGGGAUUUCGACCUUUAAAUUUUGGGAAAAAAAUGCGGAUUAUACUCGAGGAUUUACAGUAGAUAAAAUAUUUGUAUAUGAGUGUGUGUCAGUCUGUGUUUCAAAAGUACCAAAAUAAUAUACCUCCAAUCAAAUCACAUCCACCAGAUGAAUAAUCUAUUCACAAUGAUAGAGAAAGUUAUGAAAAAAUAGUUAUAUUUAUCUAAUAGAAGACUUAUAUUGCUUCAGCUUACUUAUUCCUCUGUUGAAUCUUUGCUUUUAACGUAAUUUUUAUCAUAUACUGUUUCUCUAUUAUUUCAGAAUACUGGGUGAUACUGGAUUGACAGAAUUUUACUUCAGAUGUAUCAUCAAACUAAAUGAAGUUGUAAAGAGCUGUUAUAACAUUUAAAUGUAAAUCUUAGGCUGAAUUACUAGGAAAUAUUUUCCCCGGGUGAGAUUAUUAGCAAAAUGUCUCAUUAUUUGGAAUGUGUAUAAAAUUAUUUUGCCUACAAA